UAUGGGUUAGUGGCGGACGGGUGAGUAACGCGUGGGUAACCUGCCUUACACAGGGGGAUAACACUUAGAAAUAGGUGCUAAAACCGCAUAAGCGCACAGCUUCGCAUGAAGCGGUGUGAAAAACUCCGGUGGUGUAAGAUGGACCCGCGUCUGAUUAGCUUGUUGGCGGGGUAACGGCCCACCAAGGCGACGAUCAGUAGCCGGCCUGAGAGGGUGAACGGCCACAUUGGGACUGAGACACGGCCCAAACUCCUACGGAAGGCAGCAG
Molecule: ribosomal RNA, 268 nt
Filed under: uncultured bacterium
Lineage: Bacteria
Description: partial 16S ribosomal RNA
Rfam family: Bacterial small subunit ribosomal RNA
Source: RNAcentral